AAGUCGUAACAAGGUUUCCGUAGGUGAACCUGCGGAAGGAUCAUUAACAAAAUCUUUUUUCUAAAAUGAUCCAUAAAGGUGUGUGUGGUUUGCUUUUUCGUAACAGAUGAAGUAUUCCCACCACAUUUUUAUGGUAUCAAACCCCAUUUUGAUGAACUUGUAGAUGUUGUGAGUGAGAAGUAACACUAAUAUGCUCUUUAUUACUUCGCAAUCAUCUAAUACAUUUUUAUACCCUAAAAAUUAUUUUUAAAACCCCUUUUUUACAUGUCUUUGACUGAAAUGAAAAAUUUUUAUCUUAUAAAAAAUGAUAAAAACAACUCUUAGCAACGGAUAUCUUGGCUCUC
RNAcentral lists this unclassified non-coding RNA (344 nucleotides) under fungal sp. RNAcentral's name for it is "partial internal transcribed spacer region". The stretch from base 1 to 46 matches the Rfam family "Eukaryotic small subunit ribosomal RNA", at positions 1786 to 1831 of the family's 1831-position model. The record is from RNAcentral. Lineage: Eukaryota; Fungi.